This is a transfer RNA of Felis catus (domestic cat), 77 nucleotides long. It matches the Rfam family "tRNA". Rfam says of the family: Transfer RNA (tRNA) molecules are approximately 80 nucleotides in length. The record is from Rfam. Lineage: Eukaryota; Metazoa; Chordata; Mammalia; Carnivora; Felidae.
GCCUGGCUGGCUCAGUUGGUAGAGCAUGUGACUGACUCUUGGUCUUGGGGUCAUGAGUUCAAGCCCCAUGUUGGGCA